AAUUCUCAACCUUUAUUAGCUUUUGUUGAUAAUGGCUUGGAUAUGGGGGUUUAUUUUGCCGGCUUCUUCACAGAUGGUCAGCUCCCCUUAAAUGCAUUAGCCGGUGCCCCGUGUGGACUGUCUAUUGGUGUGAUAAUUAUCUACGCCGUGGACAUCUGCAAUCAUAUGGGUUUGCGCUGCUUCCAACCGUCUGUUCAUUCAGACAAUACAUGACC
This 215-nucleotide unclassified non-coding RNA is filed under the name uncultured Hebeloma. Its description in RNAcentral is "sequence contains ITS2". Lineage: Eukaryota; Fungi; Basidiomycota; Agaricomycetes; Agaricales; Cortinariaceae. The record is from RNAcentral.